This is a long non-coding RNA of Dicentrarchus labrax (European seabass), 3006 nucleotides long. RefSeq lists it as uncharacterized. Lineage: Eukaryota; Metazoa; Chordata; Actinopteri; Moronidae. The transcript has 3 exons. The record is from RefSeq and is a predicted model, not a curated record.
GGAGGAGAAGGAGGAGGAGGAGUGAGGGAGCUAGAGAGGGAGAGAGAGAGUGCAAACAAUGUCAUUCUGUUCAGGAGGCAAUGCUGCAGUCAACUUUGCCGCGCCAUGAAGGCACAUCACAAGCGACCAUGAGGCUCAGAGUGAGUGCAGAGAAGUUUUCCUCCUCUCCGCCCCGUGUGUGAUGCGGUCCGAGACUCAUCUGAGCAGGCUCAUACACCAGGUCCGGCUGUUGGUGGCGUGUUGGAACAUGCCUUGACUUGUUGUACUGCCUGAGUGAAGCAGAGACAGACAUCCACGAGACACAGAGGAGAGAGAGAGAGAGAGAGAGAGAGAGAGAGAGAGAGAGAGAAGAGGAUUGUGGUCAACAGUUUGCCAAUGUGAAGUGACCCACCCAAUGGGAGAGCCCUGCAGCACCCGUGGACAGACUCCUGUUGAUGUCAACACCAGAGUGCACUCGCUGGAGACAAGCGUGGAUGGAGGAGCUCCACUGCUGUCCUCGCUGCUUGAGCUUUCGGCCCUGGGGGGGCUUUAGUGUGAGGCCGUUGCCUUCCAACAACCACGAAGCUGGGCACAGAAAGUGUGAGCGUCCGCAGUGCCAGACUCACAGGUGGAAGUUCCACCACAAAGACCACUCAGGGUCCUGCCGGGGGAGAGGCAGGCGGAGGGACGGACGGUUGGACGUGGCUCCUGUGGGUGUUUCUCUGGCAGUGUCUUAGCUGGUUGUUGUGAGGAGUGAGAACGAAGCAAUCAGCAAGUAUACUGCCGCAGAAAUUCUUCGCAAUAAGAGGCCCCGGGCACACAGCCGGCAAAAGGAGAAAAACGCAUAUCAGCAUUGUAGCCGUCAUGGAUCCUGCUGUUACUGUAAGUUUUUACAUGUGUGUGCUGACACUGUAGAAAUUAACUGAGGACCUGGUACAGAAUUAACUAAAGAUAGAUCAACUGAGAGCAAGGCCUAUUUGUUAACAGUCUCUACAAUAUUUACAACUGGAUCAAAGCAUCAAACUUCCACACUGUGUGUUGUACUUCUAUGAUCCUCUGCUGCCAUCUUGUGACUGAAAGCAUCGUCCCAAUAAGCUUUUGUUCAUUAAACACUGCAGCAAAUUGUAAAACCUACAUUGUUUAUCUUUUUUCAGUCUAAAAUCCCCUUCAUUCAGAAAAUAUGGCCUGGCUUACCGUGACCUCAUUUAAAAAUGCAUGUCGUUUUUGUCACUACAUUUAAUUUUUCUUUGUGAAUUAUCAUUUAUCAAGUACUUAUGUCUGGAUGCUGACAUAUUAAUAGUGAAUAUGAUUGAGUCCUAAUUUAUUAGUUGCAGCCAAAUAAUUUCUUCAUGUCAUAAAUUAUGACUGUACAAAAGGGGUAAAUAAAAGCUAAAUAAAUCAAAUUAUCCUUGUUUGUUUUCACAGUGCACACGCAUUUUGUAAUCAUGAAAAACUUGUGUUGUAUAAACCACUUUGCACUGUGUGAAAGCACUUUGAGACACUUGAAAUAAAAAUUAUGUUGCCAUGCGAACACAGAAGACCUAAUGAGUGCAGAUGAGGCAGAACGGCCUGGACGCCAGGUGCACGCUAAUUUAGGUUUUCACAGGCACACACAGCAAACGCAGACAGAGCUGAAUGUAUAGAGCGCUCCUGACUUAAGAUCCAAAGAAGCGGCUUUUGUCUACUGAAUCACAUAAUCUGUUCUUUAUUUAUUAUUAUCACUUUAUGGACAAUUUUGCGUUUUUUAAAUCUGGUAAUCGGUUGUGUGAUUGUGGUGAGAAUGCAGAUGCGUUUGCUGCAGACUGCAGGAAACAGACAACGGUGCCUCUGCAUUGCUGCAAACACAAAAAAAGAGGAUGCAGUUUUUUCUGGGCUGCAGCAAUGCAGAAGCAUUAAAAUCCUGCUCUCACACAAGGUCACCGCUUUAUGGCUUUAAGACGUUCUACACUUCAACUCCUUGGAAAACUACAAUUAUAAGGCCACCAAAGCAUUAACAGCUGCUCGACACAAAACAUUACUCAUUACUUAAAAAUGUCACAAACCCUUCCUUUAUUAUGGGGGGGGGGUUAGCCCAAUGAACUGUUUGAUAACAAGGAAAUUUACUUUGAGGCCAAAGGUGACCUCCAGCAGCACAUUUUAAUUAAAUCUGAAUUAUAAUUUAAUUUGGAAAUUCUUGAGAUAGUCCCUGUUAAGUGAGGGUGACAGUCUCAGGUUCUCAGCCUACAUGUUGGAUUGUUAGUGCAAUGUGUUAUUGUGAGCUGCCUAUCAAAACAAGAAGGAAAUAUGUGCUUCAUCUGCAUUGUUUUCCAACUGGUUAACGGCACAGGGCGGAGGAAUAUUGAGAAAUUCAUAUACGUUCUGUGGACGACCAUAGCAUUGAUAAUACAGAAAUUAGGGCUAAAAUGAUUAUUAAAUGAAUUGAUUAUUCAAUUGACACUCGAUGAAUUAUUCUAAUCAUUUACUUUACUGAACAUCACUCUGAGCUUCCAGGUCCUCAAACUGGUGGCUUUUUUUUCCGUUUCAUGUAAAUGUAAAUUUAAUAACUCUAGAAUUUGCAGCAUUUGUCAGAAAGACAUAACCCUGUGUUCUCAGAAACUGUGACAGGCAUUUUCAAUUCAUUAAUCUUAUCAGUAAUGAAAAAUAAUCAUUAGAUGCAGUUCAAAUAAUAUUUUGGGGAUGAAUAUAGGUGUUUUCAGAAGAUAUUUACAUACAAGAACAAACUAUAAUGCCCGGUGUUUAUGGCAUUAGCAAAUAAAUCUCUUUCCAGCCCACAACUCAAAAUCCUGCAGCUAGGAUUUUACUGAACAAAUUAAUAUCAGCUUAUUUCACUGAUCCUCGCAUCCAUAAACUGGCUUCCAAUUGUUUUGUUUUUUUCUAUUUUUACUUCUGUAAGUUAUUGACUGUUUUAUUAGCUUACAUUUUGUACAGUAAAGCCAUUUAAGUGUAUUGGUAAGUUUUAAUAAAGAGUGGGACAGUUGUUACAAAUGAAAAUAAAUAUUUUAAAAUAAAAUCUGAUAUGAAAUUCUG